Molecule: long non-coding RNA, 1042 nt
Filed under: Homo sapiens (human)
Lineage: Eukaryota; Metazoa; Chordata; Mammalia; Primates; Hominidae
Description: HSALNT0394360
Source: RNAcentral
AUGAAUCCAGAUAAUAAAAGGGUCUUCCUUUCUUUGAGGGCUUCCUUCAAAAACCUUGGCCUGCGAUGGCCUGGAUUGCAGGAGUCCUAUGAUGUUGGCUAGUCGGUGUAAUUGUCGGGCUUUUCCCUUAAUCCAUUUAUGCCUGAGGUUGCAAUUUUUUGAAUUUUUGCAAUUAGACCUUGGCGAUGACCUUGAGCAGUAGGAUAUAAAUAACUCCCUUGUGUUUAGCAUUCCAGUAAUGGAACACUAGCCAUAAUAAACCGUUCCAAAAAUGCGUUCUAAUGGCUCUCAAGCAAGGUCCACUUGCAGUGAAAUAAACCAGAGGUUUGAAUCAUGGCUUGAUACGAAAUUAUUGGAAAGAAUAUGGCGAUGACAUCCACAAUGCCGGAUAAAGAAAAUAUUUAGAAGAUGAGAUUCCUGUGUUUCUGGCUUUCAUAACUUUUUAGAUUUCCUUUCUACUGGAAAACUUUUAACUUUGAAAACCGCAAGUAAUAUUUUUCUUCCUGAAACCUCUGCAGUGGUAGCAAUGCACUGAAGUUUGAUUAAAAGUUUACUGGUCAUUCCUGCCAUGAGAAGAUGAUAGAGAAUAUCACCACAGUGUGACUUGCUUCCAAGGCAGCAUGGUUUCAUGCAGAGGAUCUAAACUGGGGACCAUGUGCUGGGCUGCAAAAGGGCUGUGCAGUGCCUAAAAUGUUAUGCAAAAUUUUAUAAAGUUGGUGUUGUUUUCUUCAGUCAAGAGGUCCACAGAGCUGUCUUUCAUUCUGUAGGUUUAUCAGCAACUGAUGCUUAAAACCUAUUAGGCACUGCAAAAAAAGAGUGCACACCUUCUACUUAUUAAAAAAAAAAACAAACUGUAAAACAGCAUCAUGCAGGUUCUUCAGGAGAGAUUCCAGAGGAAGGCAUUGUUGUGGUAGAAGAUGACAGUUCCACAGGUGUUACUAGCCAUGAAGAUCUUCCAGUGAGACAAGAUGUGGAGGUGGAAGACAGUGAUAUUGAUGAUUCUGAUCCUGUUGUUAUAAAUAAAGUUUCGGUUCCACAAAAG